CGCGGACGCGAUCCGAUAGAUAGAAUUAGAAGUAGAGCGGACGAGCGAGUUCGAAAGUGAGAACCGAUCAGUUCGACGGGCGUCGCCCAUCGGCUCGUUUUUUUCCUUCUUCGAUCCUAGACAUUAUGUAAGCGGAAAAAGAAAUCUCGAACAAAAGAGGUUGUUUCUCUUCCCAAAUCUUGUUGGGUUUUCCUCCUCUUCCCUCCCCAUUCCUUCUGGUAUUCGGAAAGAGUUCAAAUUCCUCGCUUUCUGCGUUCUUUUAGACUGAAUCACCCUCCUCCUUUCUCCGAAUCGGCACCGAAAUUCUUUGGUUCUGGAUUCGGAUAGCGCUGGGGCUUUGGUCAAUUAAUCUCAGAUCAUGUUCAGUUCUUCCGAUUGAUGCGUUUUUAGACGAUUUGGUCAGGAGGGUUUUAUUGUUUCUGGGUUAUAGGUUUGGAUUCUUGGCGUUCUUGAUGGAUCUUUGUUUGGUCAAUGAGAUGCCCAUCUCAAUGCGUUGCUCCUCUCUGGGAUUUGAGGGCUCUUGAUCUCUGCGGGACUGGGUUUCUUGGGUCCGGGAAUAGAUUCUUGUGGUUGAGGGAUUUGGAGGAGCCAUGUUCUGGAGGGAGAGGAGGGGAAGGGACAGCAGAGAGCAGAACGGCGGCCCUCCUUGCGGCCAAGUCCGGGUCCUCGUCGUCGGAGAGCCUGGUGUUGGAAAGACAUCACUAGUGCAUCUAAUUGUAAAGGGUUCUUCGAUUGCUCGACCAUCUCAGACAAUAGGAUGUACAGUGAAUGUGAAGCAUAUUACUUAUGGAAGUGCUGGCAGCUCUUCUAAUAGCAUAAAAGGUGAUGCAGAAAGGGACUUCUUUGUUGAGCUUUGGGAUGUCUCGGGACAUGAACGGUAUAAGGAUUGCCGAUCUCUUUUUUAUGCACAAAUCAAUGGCGUUAUAUUUGUUCAUGAUCUCUCCCAAAGGAGGACAAAGACAAGCUUGCAUCGGUGGGCAGCAGAGAUUGCAGCAACUGGGACGUUUUCAGCACCACUUGGAUCUGGAGGGCCUGGAGGUCUUCCUGUUCCUUACCUGGUUAUCAGUAACAAAGCUGAUAUUGCUGCCAAGGAGGGCAUCAGGGGAAGCAGUGGAAACCUUGUUGACGCCGCUCGCCAGUGGGUUGAAAAGCAGGGCCUACUUGCAUCUAGCGAAGAACUUCCUUUAACAGAGAGCUUCCCAGGCAGUUCAGGCCUUAUCACAGCUGCCAAAGAAGCUAGAUAUGACAAAGAAGCUUUGAUUAAGUUUUUUCGCAUGUUGAUCAGGAGAAGAUAUUUUUCUGAUGAACUACCUGCACCAAAUCCAUGGUCUGUAGCUGCCCUGCAGAACUCCGUCCAGAGGUUGGAUGAGAUUUCAAGUGAUGAUGAUCAAUUUCAAAAGAAUUUAAGUUUAAAUAGUGAGAGCUACAAGUACAAUGUGCUCCCCCCUCUCCCUGCUCAAAGAAACCUAACGCCACCUCCCACGCUCUAUCCGCAGCAGCCAAUGUCUACAUCUGAGAAUUACAGCUUCCAGAGAUCUUCAGCAUCUAGUUUGCCUGUUGGCAGCACCAGAUCGAGGCGAGCUGAUAUCAAUGUCUGACUAAAAUCUGACCACAGUUGUCUUCAAUUCAGGAGGAGACUGCUGCAUGGUGUGCAGAAUUACGGAUACCAGAAAGCAAUUUCAGCAGCUGCUGAAGAUGUAUGUGGUGGGAUUCUUACUGUUGCAUUUGAUGAAAUUGCUUGCGAUGUGCUCUCUAGUUUGGAGUUGAUCUGCAUGCUCUGUGUGACUUUCAUCAUGGCCCUAGCUAUGCUGCUUGGAUUUUUGAUCAUUAGAUCUAUCUUAUGGAAAUUGCCAUUGAUUCGUUUACAGAUGUUCUUGCUAAAAGUAAAAUACUUGGUUGUUUGUAAGACGGAAAUAAACAGACCAUCUUUUCUCGUUACUCUUUUUGCAUCCUU
This is a non-coding RNA of Phoenix dactylifera (date palm), 1954 nucleotides long. The record is from RefSeq and is a predicted model, not a curated record. NCBI's taxonomy places the organism in Eukaryota, Viridiplantae, Streptophyta, Magnoliopsida, Arecales, Arecaceae.